This 469-nucleotide ribosomal RNA is filed under the name uncultured bacterium. RNAcentral describes it as "partial 16S ribosomal RNA". It matches the Rfam family "Bacterial small subunit ribosomal RNA", at positions 28 to 508 of the family's 1533-position model. The record is from RNAcentral.
GACGAACGCUGGCGGCGUGCUUAACACAUGCAAGUCGAACGGAAAGGCCCUGCUUUUGUGGGGUGCUCGAGUGGCGAACGGGUGAGUAACACGUGAGUAACCUGCCCUUGACUUUGGGAUAACUUCAGGAAACUGGGGCUAAUACCGGAUAGGAGCUCCUGCUGCAUGGUGGGGGUUGGAAAGUUUCGGCGGUUGGGGAUGGACUCGCGGCUUAUCAGCUUGUUGGUGGGGUAGUGGCUUACCAAGGCUUUGACGGGUAGCCGGCCUGAGAGGGUGACCGGCCACAUUGGGACUGAGAUACGGCCCAGACUCCUACGGGAGGCAGCAGUGGGGAAUAUUGCACAAUGGGCGGAAGCCUGAUGCAGCAACGCCGCGUGCGGGAUGACGGCCUUCGGGUUGUAAACCGCUUUCGCCUGUGACGAAGCGUGAGUGCCGGUAAUGGGUAAAGAAGCACCGGCUAACUACGUGC